UACGAAGGGUGCGAGCGUUAAUCGGAAUUACUGGGCGUAAAGCGUGCGCAGGCGGUUUGGGAAGACAGAUGUGAAAUUCCCUGGCUUAACCUGGGAACUGCAUUUGUGACUGCCAGGCUAGAGUGCGGCAGAGGGGAGUGGAAUUCCGCGUGUGGCAGUGAAAUGCGUAGAUAUGCGGAGGAACAACGAUGGCGAAGGCAACUCCCUGGGCCUGCACUGACGCUCAUGCACGAAAGCGUGGGGAGCAAACAGG
RNAcentral lists this ribosomal RNA (253 nucleotides) under uncultured bacterium. RNAcentral's name for it is "partial 16S ribosomal RNA". It matches the Rfam family "Bacterial small subunit ribosomal RNA", at positions 524 to 776 of the family's 1533-position model. The record is from RNAcentral.